GGAAUCUUCCACAAUGGGCGCAAGCCUGAUGGAGCAACACCGCGUGAGUGAAGAAGGGUUUCGGCUCGUAAAGCUCUGUUGUAAGAGAAGAACGUGUGUGAGAGUGGAAAGUUCACACAGUGACGGUAACUUACCAGAAAGGGACGGCUAACUACGUGCCAGCAGCCGCGGUAAUACGUAGGUGGCAAGCGUUAUCCGGAUUUAUUGGGCGUAAAGCGAGCGCAGGCGGUUUGAUAAGUCUGAUGUGAAAGCCUUUGGCUUAACCAAAGAAGUGCAUCGGAAACUGUCAGACUUGAGUGCAGAAGAGGACAGUGGAACUCCAUGUGUAGCGGUGGAAUGCGUAGAUAUAUGGAAGAACACCAGUGGCGAAGGCGGCUGUCUGGUCUGCAACUGACGCUGAGGCUCGAAAGCAUGGGUAGCGAACA
This 425-nucleotide ribosomal RNA is filed under the name uncultured Lactobacillus sp. Its description in RNAcentral is "bacterial SSU rRNA". It matches the Rfam family "Bacterial small subunit ribosomal RNA", at positions 358 to 774 of the family's 1533-position model. Lineage: Bacteria; Bacillati; Bacillota; Bacilli; Lactobacillales; Lactobacillaceae. The record is from RNAcentral.